This 460-nucleotide ribosomal RNA is filed under the name uncultured bacterium. RNAcentral's name for it is "partial 16S ribosomal RNA". It matches the Rfam family "Bacterial small subunit ribosomal RNA", at positions 338 to 795 of the family's 1533-position model. The record is from RNAcentral.
CCUACGGGGGGCAGCAGUGAGGAAUAUUGGUCAAUGGACGAGAGUCUGAACCAGCCAAGUAGCGUGAAGGAUGACUGCCCUAUGGGUUGUAAACUUCUUUUAUAUGGGAAUAAAAUGUUCCACGUGUGGGAUUUUGUAUGUACCAUAUGAAUAAGGAUCGGCUAACUCCGUGCCAGCAGCCGCGGUAAUACGGAAGAUCCGAGCGUUAUCCGGAUUUAUUGGGUUUAAAGGGAGCGUAGGUGGAUUGUUAAGUCAGUUGUGAAAGUUUGCGGCUCAACCGUAAAAUUGCAGUUGAAACUGGCAGUCUUGAGUACAGUAGAGGUGGGCGGAAUUCGUGGUGUAGCGGUGAAAUGCUUAGAUAUCACGAAGAACUCCGAUUGCGAAGGCAGUUCACUGGACUGUAACUGACACUGAGGCUCGAAAGUGUGGGUAUCAAACAGGAUUAGAUACCCUUGUAGUC